This 390-nucleotide long non-coding RNA is filed under the name Olea europaea (common olive). RNAcentral describes it as "long non-coding RNA (OEUR_LNC011804)". Lineage: Eukaryota; Viridiplantae; Streptophyta; Magnoliopsida; Lamiales; Oleaceae. The record is from RNAcentral.
UCCAACAUUGGGACAUUUCAUAUAAAAAGAGCAAAAGCCUCUGCAUUUUAAGGACCUCUAAAAACCCCGAAACAGCCCAUCCCUUAAAAAACAGGACUGGGCAAAUAAAAGGGAAAACAAACUGCCUUCUUCUCCAUUCCAUUCCAAUAAUCUUCCCCAAGAAAAUCUUCCAUCUUUUUUUUAUCGAGAACCGUACAUGAUAAACUUGAAGAAAAGUAGAGAACAAUACCAAUCCGGAAAUCCCUAAAAACUAUGAGUUCCAAUCUACCAGCAAAGUUGCAAAAGUUCCGACUAGAAAUCCAAUUACCUAACCACAGGUUCGGCCUCUUCGUCUUCUUGUGCUUAUAGUUAUCUCUCUCUUUCUGUUGUCAUUGACAACUUCAUAUAUUC